UCCCUGUUACCAGGGCAGUCUGAGUAGAAAAAUUCAACUACUCACAAGGGUUGCGCUCGUUGAUGGACUUAACCAAACAUCUCACGACACGAGCUGACGACGGCCAUGCAACACCUGUCACUGCGGCCCGAAGGCACUCUCUCCUUUCGGAAAGAUUAGCAGGAUGUCAAGCCUGGGUAAGGUUCUUCGCUUACCAUCGAAUUAAACAACACGCUCCACCGCUUGUGCGGGUCCCCGUCAAUUCCUUUAUGUUUUAGUCUUGCGACCGUACUCCACAGGCGGGAUGCUUAACGCGUCAGCUUCGCUACGUAUCGGGUCGAUACGACACACAGCUAGCAUCCAUCGUUUACGGCGUGGACUAA
Molecule: unclassified non-coding RNA, 362 nt
Filed under: uncultured bacterium
Lineage: Bacteria
Description: contains 16S-23S intergenic spacer region
Source: RNAcentral